Molecule: ribosomal RNA, 764 nt
Filed under: uncultured bacterium
Lineage: Bacteria
Description: bacterial SSU rRNA
Rfam family: Bacterial small subunit ribosomal RNA
Source: RNAcentral
AGAGUUUGAUCAUGGCUCAGAUUGAACGCUGGCGGCAUGCCUUACACAUGCAAGUCGAACGGCAGCAUGAUCUAGCUUGCUAGAUUGAUGGCGAGUGGCGAACGGGUGAGUAAUACAUCGGAACGUGCCCUGUAGUGGGGGAUAACUAGUCGAAAGAUUAGCUAAUACCGCAUACGACCUGAGGGUGAAAGUGGGGGACCGCAAGGCCUCAUGCUAUAGGAGCGGCCGAUGUCUGAUUAGCUAGUUGGUGAGGUAAAGGCUCACCAAGGCGACGAUCAGUAGCUGGUCUGAGAGGACGAUCAGCCACACUGGGACUGAGACACGGCCCAGACUCCUACGGGAGGCAGCAGUGGGGAAUUUUGGACAAUGGGCGAAAGCCUGAUCCAGCAAUGGCCGCGUGUGUGAAGAAGGCCUUCGGGUUGUAAAGCACUUUUGUCCGGAAAGAAAUGGCUCUGGUUAAUACCUGGGGUCGAUAACGGUACCGGAAGAAUAAGGACCGGCUAACUACGUGCCAGCAGCCGCGGUAAUACGUAGGGUCCAAGCGUUAAUCGGAAUUACUGGGCGUAAAGCGUGCGCAGGCGGUUGUGCAAGACCGAUGUGAAAUCCCCGAGCUUAACUUGGGAAUUGCAUUGGUGACUGCACGGCUAGAGUGUGUCAGAGGGGGGUAGAAUUCCACGUGUAGCAGUGAAAUGCGUAGAGAUGUGGAGGAAUACCGAUGGCGAAGGCAGCCCCCUGGGAUAACACUGACGCUCAUGCACGAAAGC